GUCGAUCGACACAUGGAUGCACCAUCGAUCAACGUUCCUUCAUCUCCUUGACAGCUUCCUCUAGCGAGACAGACUGACCACUCUUCAGUAAAACGGGCAUAACAUUUUAUCUAGCCGUUGGAUUGACCUCAAACCGGUGGCAUUGGAAAUCUAACUUAAAUCGCUAUUGUGUGUUAAAAUAUGGGCUCAAUCGCACCGUGGGAAGGUCUCCAUCCAUAGCUAAACAUCUGUGGCGCCUGUGCC
Molecule: long non-coding RNA, 243 nt
Filed under: Brassica napus (rape)
Lineage: Eukaryota; Viridiplantae; Streptophyta; Magnoliopsida; Brassicales; Brassicaceae
Description: long non-coding RNA (BNAP_LNC024120)
Source: RNAcentral